GACGAACGCUGGCGGCGUGCCUAAUACAUGCAAGUAGAACGCACAGUUUAUACCGUAGCUUGCUACACCAUAGACUGUGAGUUGCGAACGGGUGAGUAACGCGUAGGUAACCUGCCUGGUAGCGGGGGAUAACUAUUGGAAACGAUAGCUAAUACCGCAUAAUAUUAAUUAUUGCAUGAUAAUUAAUUUAAAGGUGCAAUUGCACCACUACCAGAUGGACCUGCGUUGUAUUAGCUAGUAGGUGAGGUAACGGCUCACCUAGGCGACGAUACAUAGCCGACCUGAGAGGGUGAUCGGCCACACUGGGACUGAGACACGGCCCCGACCCCUACGGGAGGCAGCAGUAGGGAAUCUUCGGCAAUGGACGAAAGUCUGACCGAGCAACGCCGCGUGAGUGAAGAAGGUUUUCGGAUCGUAAAGCUCUGUUGUAAGAGAAGAACGGGUAUGAGAGUGGAAAGUUCACACUGUGACGGUAUCUUACCAGAAAGGGACGGCUAACUACGUG
This 505-nucleotide ribosomal RNA is filed under the name uncultured bacterium. RNAcentral describes it as "partial 16S ribosomal RNA". It matches the Rfam family "Bacterial small subunit ribosomal RNA", at positions 28 to 507 of the family's 1533-position model. The record is from RNAcentral.